This 91-nucleotide transfer RNA is filed under the name Deltaproteobacteria bacterium. RNAcentral describes it as "tRNA-Ser". It matches the Rfam family "tRNA". Rfam says of the family: Transfer RNA (tRNA) molecules are approximately 80 nucleotides in length. Their secondary structure includes four short double-helical elements and three loops (D, anti-codon, and T loops). The record is from RNAcentral. Lineage: Bacteria; Pseudomonadati; Myxococcota; Myxococcia.
GGAGAGAUGUCCGAGUGGACGAAGGAGCACGCCUGGAGAGCGUGUAGGCGUUAACAGCGCCUCGGGGGUUCGAAUCCCCCUCUCUCCGCCA